Molecule: ribosomal RNA, 495 nt
Filed under: uncultured bacterium
Lineage: Bacteria
Description: partial 16S ribosomal RNA
Rfam family: Bacterial small subunit ribosomal RNA
Source: RNAcentral
GACGAACGCUGGCGGCGUGCCUAAUACAUGCAAGUAGAACGCUGAAGGAUGAUCUUGCUUCUCUGGAUGAGUUGCGAACGGGUGAGUAACGCGUAGGUAACCUGCCUGGUAGCGGGGGAUAACUAUUGGAAACGAUAGCUAAUACCGCAUAUUAGCAGUUGUUGCAUGACAACUGUUUUAAAGGUGCAAUUUCACCACUACCAGAUGUGACUGCGUUGUAUUAGCUAGUUGGUGGGGUAACGGCUCACCAAGGCGACGAUACAUAGCCGACCUGAGAGGGGGAUCGGCCACACUGGGACUGAGACACGGCCCAGACUCCUACGGGAGGCAGCAGUAGGGAAUCUUCGGCAAUGGACGGAAGUCUGACCGAGCAACGCCGCGUGAGUGAAGAAGGUUUUCGGAUCGUAAAGCUCUGUUGUAAGAGAAGAACGAGGGUGAGAGUGGAAAGUUCACAAUGUGACGGUAACUUACCAGAAAGGGACGGCUAACUACGUG